RNAcentral lists this long non-coding RNA (1856 nucleotides) under Homo sapiens (human). RNAcentral describes it as "HSALNT0003041". The record is from RNAcentral. Lineage: Eukaryota; Metazoa; Chordata; Mammalia; Primates; Hominidae.
CAAGUCCCCACAGCUCAGCUUAUAAUCAGGUGGGAGACAGAAGAAUUAGUGAAGCCAAUAAGCACGUGAUCUAAUUAUUUGCACGUGAAGCCAAUAAGCACUAAUCUAAUAGUGAAGCAAAUAAGCACGUGAUCUAAUGUGGAUGUCAGUCCUGUGAAGACAAAUACAGCAGGCAAGGGCUGGAACUGACCCAUGUGGAGGUCCAAGUAGGAGACCCAACGUAGGUCAUUUAGAGAAGGCCAUUGAGGAGGCCUUUCAGCUUUGGGCCAAGGAAGAUAAGGAAGCGAAUAUGUCUUGAUUGCGGUGAGAUAGAACCAUAGAAAAUGCAGGUGGAGGGGCAGGUUGGAGUCAGUCACACACAGAAGGGUUUGCUGCCAGGCAAGACUCUAUUGCGUGUAUGCUGGGGAGAAUUUGAGAGUGUUAAGCAGGAGAGCAACAAGAUCUGAUGUCCACUUUUGAAAGAUCACUGGAACAGAGGGCAGCAGGUAAGGGGGAAGCAAGGAGACAGUAUAAGGCCAGUUUCAUAGCAGGGGCACAAGCUGAUAGGACAAGAUUAGGGUGGCAAGAGGGUGCCCAGGGAGUCAGGAUUCAUGAUUAAAUGAGCACUGACCAGACUUGUGGGUGGAUUGGAUGCAGGAUGUGAGGGAAAGAGAGGAGGUAAGACAACUUCAGGGACUUGGACCGGAGCAACCUGGAUGCCAUGUACCAAGAAGCAGAAGACCAAAAGCAAAGCAGUUUUCAAGAAUCCACCUGGUGUGAGAUGCAGUGGGCCUUCUCCAAGCCAGGGGCUGGAGGCACCAGUCUGGAGCUUAAGGGAAAGGUCUAGCCUGUAGAUAGACAUAUAGGAGAUGUCAGUAUCUGGAGGGACCUUAUCUACAACCUCAGCCUGAAUGAGCCCACCCAGGGAGCAGGUGUAGACAGGGCCCCGGGGAUGAGUGUAGACAGAGCCCAGGGAGUGGAUGUAGACAGAGACCCAGAGAGAGUGUAGACAAGGCCCCAGGGAUGAGUGUAGACAGAGACCCAGGAGUGGGUGUAGACAGCCCUGGGAGUGGGUGUAGACAGCCCUGGGGUACUCCACCACUUAUCCGUUUGGAAGAGGAGACAGAUUCCAGAAAGGAGCCUGAGAAGCAGUGGCCAGGGGAGAAGGAAGAAACCGAGAGUGUUGUCCUGGAAGCCAAGUGCUUAAGGCAGCGGGGAGAAAUCAGCUCUGUCGAAAGCUGCUGAUAGGGUGAGGAAGAUGAGGCCUGGGGAUCACCCACUUUGGCAGCAAGAGGCCACUGCACAGGAGGCAUCCCCGAGGCCUGGAGUUUCCAGCUCUCAGCUCCAUCCAGACACACCAGCAGCCCACAGACCUCUCCUCUGCUCAUGUGGGCCCCAGGAAACGUUAGCCGGCAUCCUGGCACAACCCUCCCCAGGCCGCACUGGGCAAAGAUGGUCUCGCCUUGGUCGAGCUGACACGGGCACGCUGCAGCUUCCCAGAGGCCCUGCAAUGUCUCCACUCUCCAUGCCCAUGAUGCCCUGAUGCCUGCGGUGGCUGCACUGAAUGGAAGUAAUAACGCCCUCCUUUAGAGAUCCCCGCGAGUGCUAAGGAACUCGAGAGGAAGCCUCUUAUCAACUGAGCACACUGAGUGAUGGUCUCUUCCGGCUUGUCAUUACAGUUCCUCCCGGUCUGCUUAGCCUUCUUUCCUCUGGUCUUACCAUGCUGUCUCCCACCCUUUGUGGAGGAGAAUGCAGGGAAAGAAUAACAGAAAUUAUAGUGAGAGAUGGUGAUGAUGAUGAUGAUGAUGGUGAUGGUGAUGAAGAGUGUGAAUACCCCUUACUGAGCAUUUCUGCAGGCUGACCUAGUUCAACUUCUC